GGGGGUGUAGCUCAUAUGGUAGAGCGCUUGCUUUGCAUGCGAGAGGCACGGGGUUCGAUUCCGCAGGUCCCA
Non-coding RNA from Triticum urartu, 72 nucleotides. NCBI's taxonomy places the organism in Eukaryota, Viridiplantae, Streptophyta, Magnoliopsida, Poales, Poaceae. The record is from Rfam.